Molecule: long non-coding RNA, 518 nt
Filed under: Heterocephalus glaber (naked mole-rat)
Lineage: Eukaryota; Metazoa; Chordata; Mammalia; Rodentia; Bathyergidae
Description: lncRNA (ENSHGLG00000035149.1)
Source: RNAcentral
AGUUGUUGAAGCUGGUGAUGGGUUCUUGGCAAAGAUGACCCCUACAUAAUGACUGCCUUGCUCUGAGAGAAAGGAGCUGUUCUGUCAGGAAAACUCAGGAAGCCUGUGGGAAGACCCAGUGGUGAAGAACUGAAGUCUCCAGCCAGCAGUCAGCAAGAAGCUGGGGUCUGGCAACACCUGUGUGAAUGAGCUUGGAGAUGAGUGCCUUGGCCUGAACCAUGCAGUUUGGAUGGUGGAAUACAAGUCAGGUUUCCAGAGAAGAGCAGAAGUACUUGGGUCAGGAAACCGCUUCAGAAACUGAUUGGAGAAAACGUGAUGAAUGGUGAGUGGGCUGGUGCAAGAGGAUCCUGAAGGCAACCAAGAGGUCUUGCAGAAGCCGUCAGAACCGAAGUGGAGUCACCUGUGUCAAAUCCUAACAGAAAUAAAUAAAUAAAGCUAGGAGGUUAUGACCGAAGGGAAUCUCAUGCCUGUAGGCCUGCUAAUAAGAACUCUGACAAAAGACUUCCAGAACCACGGCC